UACAGAGGGCCCAAGCGUUGUUCGGAUUCACUGGGCGUAAAGGGUGCGUAGGCGGUCGGGCAAGUCUGUUGUGAAAUCUCACAGCUUAACUGUGAAACUGCAUUGGAUACUAUCCGGCUAGAGGAAUGGAGGGGAGACUGGAAUACUUGGUGUAGCAGUGAAAUGCGUAGAUAUCAAGUGGAACACCAGUGGCGAAGGCGAGUCUCUGGACAUUUCCUGACGCUGAGGCACGAAAGCCAGGGGAGCAAACGGG
This 253-nucleotide ribosomal RNA is filed under the name uncultured bacterium. RNAcentral describes it as "partial 16S ribosomal RNA". It matches the Rfam family "Bacterial small subunit ribosomal RNA", at positions 524 to 776 of the family's 1533-position model. The record is from RNAcentral.